GGCGGUGUGUCGCGUCGGCCGUGAAAUCCUGCGGCUCAACCGCGGACGGGCGGCCGAUACGGGCACACUUGAGGGCGGUAGAGGCAAGCGGAAUUCCCGGUGUAGCGGUGAAAUGCGCAGAUAUCGGGAGGAACACCGACGGCGAAGGCAGCUUGCUGGGCCGUGCCUGACGCUGAGGAGCGAAAGCGUGGGGAGCGAACAGGAUUAGAUACCCUGGUAGUCCACGCCGUAAACGUUGGGCGCUAGGUGUGGGGACCGUCGUGGUUUCCGUGCCACAGCUAACGCGUUAAGCGCCCCGCCUGGGGAGUACGGCCGCAAGGCUAAAACUCAAAGGAAUUGACGGGGGCCCGAACAAGCGGCGGAGCAUGUGGAUUAAUUCGAUGCAACGCGAAGAACCUUACCUGGGUUUGACAUCCAUCGGAUCGCCGUGGAGACACGGUUUCCCUUGGGGCCGGUGGACAGGUGGUGCAUGGCUGUCGUCAGCUCGUGUCGUGAGAUGUUGGGUUAAGUCCCGCAACGAGCGCAACCCUUGUCCCGUGUUACCAGCAAUGUGGUUGGGGACUCACGGGGGACUGCCGAGGUAACUCGGAGGAAGGUGGGGACGACGUCAAGUCAUCAUGCCCCUGAUGCCCAGGGCUUCACACAUGCUACAAUGGCCGGUACAGAGGGUGGCGAUCCCGCAAGGGUGGGCGAAUCUCGCAAAGCCGGUCGUAGUUCGGAUCGGGGUCUGCAACUCGACCCCGUGAAGGCGGAGUCGCUAGUAAUCGCAGAU
This 772-nucleotide ribosomal RNA is filed under the name uncultured bacterium. RNAcentral describes it as "bacterial SSU rRNA". It matches the Rfam family "Bacterial small subunit ribosomal RNA", at positions 574 to 1349 of the family's 1533-position model. The record is from RNAcentral.